Dreissena polymorpha is the source of this 1184-nucleotide long non-coding RNA. RefSeq lists it as uncharacterized. The record is from RefSeq and is a predicted model, not a curated record. NCBI's taxonomy places the organism in Eukaryota, Metazoa, Mollusca, Bivalvia, Myida, Dreissenidae. The transcript is spliced from 3 exons.
UAUCGCGUCAUGUGAAAACCUGACUUAAUGACAUUUACAACGUCAUCAAUAAAAUUGCGAAAUGAAAUAAUGUGCUUUGUGGAAUUUGCACAUGUUUUGCGCGCAAAGUUGUUUGUAUUUUGUUUAAUUCAAAAUGGAUUUUCGGUGAUAUGGACUAAGAGCUAGAUGUAGAUCUAAGGCACGCUCGCAGCCACGUGGACAGUGGCUUUGCCGCCAUUAAAAAGCGGUUUAGACGUUGCGAUGUCAGACGCUUGCACACCUGUCGGACGUCGUGAAUGAUUCAUCCAACUCCAACGCCUCCGUCCAAUACCCCCUGUGGCAGUGGGAUGAUUGGUGCGCUUUCCUGCAGCCAAAGAUCAGAGCUUUGCCGGGCAUUCGGAAAUAUCAGUACUUCAGAUUUGAACAACGGUGUCCCGGGUAUGUUUUCGCAAGGGAACGACAUGUAUCAGAAGAGACGAAGAUUCUUUUGACAUCAGAAUCCGGUUUCGUCGCAACGGAGAGACCGCGCACGCUCACAGCUGCAGGGUUGUCGGAGCAGCGUCGCGCUUACCUGACGAAGAAUGUCUCCCCCUACGUGUCCGCUUUGCAUCGUGAUGUGUUAGUGCAUCAGGAAGAUUGUGAUGUUUGAUUUGCACACACUUCACCAUACUCAACUUGGAGUAUUGAGAAAUAAAUGUCUCAAAAAAUAAUCGUGGAAGUGGAUAUUGUUGUGUUUCACCACUUCACGGAUUCAUUUACUUUUAUUAACUUAUCAUUUUUGAAUUUAAAUGAUAUAACUAUAUAAAACAGAAAACACAAAAAUAUUAACUUGCGAAACAAUGUUAUGAACACCAAAAAUACGCGACGUCAACGACGUCGUAUUAAAGAAAUUAAAAUUUUAAAUUCCGCAUAGUAUUUUUUCUAUCAAUGUCAAAAGAGUUGCAGAUUUGAAACCAGGAGAAAAAAAUCUGUAAGAAAAUGAUAAAAAGUAAAAAUCGAAAAUUUUGUCAUUAAGGCUGGUUUUCACAUGACGCGAUACAACAUUUAUAUAUAUAUAUAUUGUAUUUUAACACCCAUUUCAUAUUUAAUUUUUAUCUACGCACGCGAUUAAAACUAAAAUACAAUGAAUGUUUUGUUUUCAACUUAUCAUUAUUAGAACUAAGAACUCCUGUAUAUGGAUUAAGUGUACCCUGACAAUGAAGUCU